This 433-nucleotide ribosomal RNA is filed under the name uncultured bacterium. RNAcentral describes it as "partial 16S ribosomal RNA". It matches the Rfam family "Bacterial small subunit ribosomal RNA", at positions 29 to 507 of the family's 1533-position model. The record is from RNAcentral.
AACGAACGCUGGCGGCAGGCCUAACACAUGCAAGUCGAGCGCGCCCUUCGGGGUGAGCGGCGGACGGGUGUGUAACGCGUGGGAACGUGCCCUUUUCUACGGAAUAGCCUCGGGAAACUGAGAGUAAUACCGUAUACGCCCUUUGGGGGAAAGAUUUAUCGGAAAAGGAUCGGCCCGCGUUGGAUUAGGUAGUUGGUGGGGUAAUGGCCUACCAAGCCGACGAUCCAUAGCUGGUUUGAGAGGAUGAUCAGCCACACUGGGACUGAGACACGGCCCAGACUCCUACGGGAGGCAGCAGUGGGGAAUCUUAGACAAUGGGGGCAACCCUGAUCUAGCCAUGCCGCGUGAGUGAUGAAGGCCUUAGGGUUGUAAAGCUCUUUCAGCUGGGAAGAUAAUGACGGUACCAGCAGAAGAAGCCCCGGCUAACUCCGUG